Molecule: ribosomal RNA, 413 nt
Filed under: Aggregatibacter aphrophilus
Lineage: Bacteria; Pseudomonadati; Pseudomonadota; Gammaproteobacteria; Pasteurellales; Pasteurellaceae
Description: bacterial SSU rRNA
Rfam family: Bacterial small subunit ribosomal RNA
Source: RNAcentral
GUCGAACGGUAGCAGGUAAGUACUUGUACUUAUGCUGACGAGUGGCGGACGGGUGAGUAAUGCUUGGGGAUCUGGCUUAUGGAGGGGGAUAACGACGGGAAACUGUCGCUAAUACCGCGUAGAAUCGGGAGAUGAAAGUGUGGGACCUUCGGGCCACAUGCCAUAGGAUGAGCCCAAGUGGGAUUAGGUAGUUGGUGGGGUAAUGGCCUACCAAGCCGACGAUCUCUAGCUGGUCUGAGAGGAUGACCAGCCACACCGGGACUGAGACACGGCCCGGACUCCUACGGGAGGCAGCAGUGGGGAAUAUUGCGCAAUGGGGGCAACCCUGACGCAGCCAUGCCGCGUGAAUGAAGAAGGCCUUCGGGUUGUAAAGUUCUUUCGGUGACGAGGAAGGUUGUUGUGUUAAUAGCGCA